Long non-coding RNA from Gadus morhua (Atlantic cod), 202 nucleotides. RefSeq lists it as uncharacterized. Lineage: Eukaryota; Metazoa; Chordata; Actinopteri; Gadiformes; Gadidae. The record is from RefSeq and is a predicted model, not a curated record. The transcript has 2 exons.
AACUAAUUCUAACAUUUGGUUUUGGUUUAGGGAGCCAGCAGCAUACUGCUCGAUUUAUUCAAUUGAGGGGGGAGAACGAUGAGCUGUUCACCGGGGUGAAAUACUCAGCAAGUGUAGCUUGGGGGACUAUUCUGGAGAAAAUAGGCCUGCAGGGGAAGGUGACUCCCCUGCAGGCAAAGAAAAAAUGGGACAAUUAAAAAAA